This 253-nucleotide unclassified non-coding RNA is filed under the name uncultured Dehalococcoidia bacterium. Its description in RNAcentral is "contains 16S-23S intergenic spacer region". It matches the Rfam family "Bacterial small subunit ribosomal RNA", at positions 524 to 776 of the family's 1533-position model. The record is from RNAcentral. Lineage: Bacteria; Bacillati; Chloroflexota; Dehalococcoidia.
UACGUAGGUGGCGAGCGUUGUCCGGAUUUACUGGGCGUAAGGCGCGUGCAGGCGGUUCGUUAAGUUUGAGGUGAAAGCUCCCGGCUCAACUGGGAGAGGUCCUUGGAUACUGGCGGACUUGAGGGAGGCAGAGGAGAGUGGAAUUCCCGGUGUAGUGGUGAUAUGCGUAGAUAUCGGGAGGAACACCAGUGGCGAAGGCGGCUCUCUGGGCCUUAUCUGACGCUGAGACGCGAAAGCGUGGGGAGCGAACCGG